GAUUCAGUGGUGCAGUGGUGGCACGCGUACCCGGUACGCAUGAAACGAGGGGUCGAUUCCCGCCUGAGGCCG
This is a non-coding RNA of Parelaphostrongylus tenuis, 72 nucleotides long. The record is from the annotation of a GenBank genome assembly. NCBI's taxonomy places the organism in Eukaryota, Metazoa, Nematoda, Chromadorea, Rhabditida, Metastrongylidae.